GUACACGCUGUGACUAGCAUAUCAAUAAGCGGAGGAAAAGAAACUAACAAGGAUUCCCCUAGUAACGGCAGAGUGAAGCGGGAAGAGCUCAAAUUUGAAAUCUUAAAGGGUUUCCCUUUACGAAUUGUAGUUUAAAGAAGUGUUUUCUGUUGAGGUUUUGGUAAAAGUUCUUUGGAAUAGGACAUCAUAGAGGGUGAGAAUCCCGUAUUUGACCUUUACUUUCAACUUUGUGAUACACUUUCCAAAGAGUCGGAUUGUUUGGGAAUGCAGUCCAAAAUGGGUGGUAAAUUUCAUCUAAAGCUAAAUAUUGGCGAGAGACCGAUAGCGAACAAGUACCGUGAGGGAAAGAUGAAAAGAACUUUGAAAAGAGAGUUAAACAGUACGUGAAAUUGUCAAAAGGGAAGCGUUUGACACCAGUGUUGCUUUUCUGAAAAUCAAUUAAAGAACUGUUUAUGCUAAGCUGUUUAGACUUUAUCAGCUAUCUGUUUAGUUUUAGGCUUUUCUUUAAUGCACUUUUCAGUUAACAAGUCAACAUCAAUUUCUUUUGCUGUAAAAAAGCUUGAGGAAGGUGGCUUGAGAUUCGUCUUAAGUGUUUAUAGCCUCUUGCCUAUGCAGUCGGAGAGAUUGAGGUCUGCAGGCGUAGAUCCUUCGGGGCUAAAUGCAUUUGUGCUAAGUUAUAGCAUUUUAUAGACAACUUGUUGACUAUGAUUUGUCUUGUAGCUUACUCGCUUAUGUUAUUUUACCUACGCUUAGGAUGUUGAGUCGUAGAGCACGCAG
Molecule: ribosomal RNA, 777 nt
Filed under: uncultured Neocallimastigales
Lineage: Eukaryota; Fungi; Neocallimastigomycota; Neocallimastigomycetes; Neocallimastigales
Description: partial large subunit ribosomal RNA
Rfam family: Eukaryotic large subunit ribosomal RNA
Source: RNAcentral